This 1231-nucleotide ribosomal RNA is filed under the name Niphargus spinulifemur complex sp. B VZ-2015. RNAcentral's name for it is "eukaryotic LSU rRNA". It matches the Rfam family "Eukaryotic large subunit ribosomal RNA", at positions 1326 to 2193 of the family's 3401-position model. Lineage: Eukaryota; Metazoa; Arthropoda; Malacostraca; Amphipoda; Niphargidae. The record is from RNAcentral.
GGCUUCAGUACGACCUAGUCAGAACUAUAAGUUUCAAAGCCCCGACGAGUAGGGUGGCGUGCCGGUGCGCGUUGAAGGCCAAGACGUGAGUCAGGCUGGAGCCGCCGGUAGUGCAGAUCUUGGUGGUAGUAGCAAGUACUCUGGUGAACCAACCUGGAGCUGUGAGGUCUGGAUUAGGGUUCCAUGUCAACAGUGAUUGAACAUGGGUGAGUCGAACCUAAGCCAACUGUGAAAGCAGUGACAUCCCGACAAAGGGGCGGUACAUGCGCGGCUCUUACACCCCCAUAUAUCUCUCUCUCUGUGAUCGCUACGGAGUGUGAGUGUGUGCGCUUGUCUGGUUACGCUCAUAAGCGUUGUUGAUCUAUGGCAAAAGGAUAUGGCAAAACAAAUAAGAGAGAGAGAGGGUGAGCGUGAGAUUGCUCUUGCAUGAGCCUUCUGCGUCUGGUUCUAUGUCUGGCGAAAGGGAAUGGGGACUUUGUUCCUUGACCGGUCCCGGCACCCUCGAUUGGCUCUGCCAGUCAAUGGUCCAUGCAAAUGGAACCAGGCCACAGCCGCCGGCAGUCGCCCGAGGAAGAGUUUUCUUUUCUGCUUAACGCACGAGGUCAUCCCUGGAAACAGUUCGGCUGGCGAAAGGGUGCCCCGUUGCGGCAGAGCGCCACGACUGUCGUGCGCGUCUCGGUGUUCCUGCCGGUCCGUGAAAACGUGGUCGAGGGGAAUGCUCUUGUAUCAACGAAACGUCCGACAAGUUCGGGACGGACCGUACCCUAUAUCCGCAUCUGGUCUCCAAGGUUCGUAGCCUCUGCAGAGUCAGACACAUGUAGGUAAGGGAAGUCGGCAAACUCGAUCCGUAACUUCGGGAAAAGGAUUGGCUCUGAGGGCCGAGCUGGGCCGGGCCUUGCCUGCAAAGCAGUACCUAUAGUGACCGGAGUUUCAGGAGUGCGAGGGGCUCUAGUAGCUGCUUGUGCGUGUGUGCGUUCGCGCGUGCGCGCGUGUGGGCACGAACGAGUCCACCGCUCCGCUCCAACCACGAACGGCUGUGACGGCAAGGGCUCUGGGCGGGAGCAAUCAAACCGUUGGCCUCCAGCGCGUCUGGCUGGCGGCGGUGCUCCGUCUGACCCAUACGGCUCCAGCGGCUAGCGGCUAACUCAGAACUGUCAUGGACCAAGGGAAUCCGACUGUCUAAUUAAAACAAAGCGUCGUGACGGCCCCUGUUGGGUGUUGACGCGACGUG